This 390-nucleotide ribosomal RNA is filed under the name uncultured bacterium. RNAcentral describes it as "bacterial SSU rRNA". It matches the Rfam family "Bacterial small subunit ribosomal RNA", at positions 28 to 417 of the family's 1533-position model. The record is from RNAcentral.
GACGAACGCUGGCGGCGUGCUUAACGCAUGCAAGUCGAACGGUGAACCGGGCUUCGGCCCGGGGAUCAGUGGCGAACGGGUGCGUAACACGUGGGCAACCUGCCCCAGACACUGGGAUAACUCCGGGAAACCGGGGCUAAUACCGGAUACUCUCAGCCGGCCGCAUGAGCGGCUGAGGAAAGCUCCGGCGGUCUGGGAUGGCCCGCGGCCUAUCAGCUUGUUGGUGGGGUAACGGCCUACCAAGGCGACGACGGGGUAGCUGGUCUGAGAGGGCGACCGGCCACACUGGGACUGAGACACGGCCCAGACUCCUACGGGAGGCAGCAGUGGGGAAUCUUGCGCAAUGGGCGAAAGCCUGACGCAGCGACGCCGCGUGAGGGAUGACGGCCU